Molecule: ribosomal RNA, 253 nt
Filed under: uncultured bacterium
Lineage: Bacteria
Description: partial 16S ribosomal RNA
Rfam family: Bacterial small subunit ribosomal RNA
Source: RNAcentral
UACGAAGGGGGCUAGCGUUGUUCGGAAUUACUGGGCGUAAAACGCGCGCAGGCGGUUUUUCAAGUCAGUGGUGAAAGCCCGGAGCUCAACUCCGGAAAUGCCAUUGAAACUGUAAAACUUGAGGACGAGAGAGGUGAGUGGAAUUCCCAGUGUAGAGGUGAAAUUCGUAGAUAUUGGGAAGAACACCGGUGGCGAAGGCGGCUCACUGGCUCGUUUCUGACGCUCAGGCGCGAUAGCGUGGGGAUCAAACAGG